UUCUGGUUGGCCGGCGGCAAGAUUCGGUGCUCCGAUGACUAAUUGCGCAUACGCAGCGAGCGCGUACGUACUACGCGAACGGACGCCGCGCCGGAGAAAAAAAUUAAGUGCUCACGAAACCAAACGGUGACAUCCAGGCACUCCCCGGAUGGCGGCGACGACGGCCGCGCGCGCGGACGACGGCGCGCCGUCCGCGCCGUCCGCGAGCGCGAAGCGCAUCGUGGAGAUGAAGCAGGCGCUCGUGGAGCACGUCAAGGCGGGGCGAUACGAAGACGCGCUCGCGACGUGCGACGAACGUGCGUCGACGUCUCGCAGUCUCCCAGAGGCAGUCCGUCGUCCUUCCCCGCGCCCUUCCCUCCGCUCGCGCUGAUGACACCCCGCGCGCCUCUCUCUCUCUCUCUCUCUUCGCAGUCGCGGCGCUGGCGCCGAACGACGCGAUCGUCGCGCAGUAUGCGCAGGUGUUGCGUCAGAAGAUCGAGCUCGACGACGACGAGAGCGACGACGACGACGACGAGGAGGGAGACGCGACAUCGUCGUCGUCAUCAGACGACGACGCGUCGGGCGACUCCUCCUCCGAAGCGAGCGACGCGACGUCGUGAAGGAAGCAGGGGACGACUCGAUUCGACCUAUCACGUUGUUGUUGUUUAUAAUAAAUACGCUGUUGUACUCUCUGUCGUAUCAGCCGCGAACGAACGCGAAGGGCCCGCCUCUUCUACCGCCUGAACGCGAACGGCGCGAGCGCCCUCCGCUUCGGCGGCUCGCGCGUCUUUUUCCCCCGCGGCGCCAUCUCCUCCCCGCCGAUGACGGCGACGCUCCCUCUGCCAACCUCAGUCUUCUCAGAAGACUCCCGCCCCCCGCGUGUCGCCUCCAGCCCCUUCCUCUUCUCCUCCGCCCAGAGCUGAUCGCGCCGCUCGCGGUCCACCCUCUGCUGCGCGUCGAGGCCAAACUUUUGCUCCC
This 957-nucleotide long non-coding RNA is filed under the name Micromonas pusilla. Its description in RNAcentral is "long non-coding RNA (MPUS_LNC000102)". Lineage: Eukaryota; Viridiplantae; Chlorophyta; Mamiellophyceae; Mamiellales; Mamiellaceae. The record is from RNAcentral.